GUGAAGUAGUGUGUAUGUUAUGUAGUUGAUUUAGCCAUUCUGCAAUGUAUACAUAUAUCAAGGCAUCACGUUGUACACCAUACAUAUGUAUAAUUUCUCUUCUUUAAUUAAUUUUUUAAAAGCUAUUUUGAUGAAGUUUCAAAUUAUCUGCAAAAAAAAAACAAAUUUCACCUAUAAAUCUCCUUCACUUCAAUUAACAUUGCUUUUUUAUACAAAAGAGUUAAAUGUUUAUGGUAAUACAAUUUUAAAAAGAUCUUUAUGUAGUGACAAUUCAAGUUUGUCAGGUACGGAUUAAAUGCAAAAACAUUUUACUCUAGAUAACAAUGAGAUCGUAAGUUUUAUAAUUUUAUGAACAACUUAGUGCUUCUCGAAGAUAUCCCUCUUUAUUGACCAACUUUCUUUAUUAAGAAAUACGCAUUUUUAUAUUGAUGUUAUAUUUCUCUCUUUUUUUUUUUUUUUUUUUUUUUUUUUUUUUUUUUUUUGAGAUGUAGUCUCGCUCUGUUGCCCAGGCUGGAGUGCAGUGCCGCGAUCUCGGCUCACUACAACCUCCGCCUCCCAGUCUCCCAGGUUCAAGCAAUUCUCAUGCCUCAGACUCUUGAACAGCUAGGAUUACAGGCUCACAUAUUAUCUUCAUCAGUGGAUGAAAAGCAACAAUCUAAGUUCUAUUUUGUCUAGUCAAGUUGUAGGAUACAGAUCUGACUCCAUAAUAUGGUUGGAUGCUCCCUCCAAAUCUCAUGUUGAUAUGUGCUCCUCAGUGUUAAAGGUGAAACAUGGUUGGAUUUCGUCUGUUCUUGCACUGCUAUAAAGAGGCUGGACACGGUGACUCACAUCUGUAAUCCCAGCACUUUGGGAGGCCAAGGCAGGCGGAUAACGAGGUGAAGAGAUAGAGACCAUCCUGGCCAACAUGGUGAAACCCCGUCUCUACUAAAAAUACAAAAAUUAGCUGGCUGUGGUGGUGGGUGCCUGUAGUCCCAGUUACUCGGGAGGCUGAGGCAGGAGAAUCACUCAAACCCGGGAGGCAGAGGUUGCAGUGAGCAGAGAUCAUGCCACUGCACUCCAGCCUGGCAACAGACCGAGACCCCGGAAAAAAAAAAAAAAAGCAAUAUCUGAAACUGGGUAAUUUAUAAGAAAAGAGUUUUAAUUGGCUCAUGGUUCUCCAGGUUGUACAAAGCAUAGUUGUAUCUGUUUGCUUCUGGGAAGGCCUCAGGAAGCUUCCAAUCAUGGCAGAAGGCAAAGGGGUUUCAGGCACAUCAUGUGGCAAAAACAAGAGCGAGCAAGACAGAGGGUGGUGGGGGCUUGGGCAGAGGUGCCACACAUUUUUUUAAAUGACCAGAUCUUGUGAGAACUCUCCAUCAUGAAUAUAGCAUCAAGCCAUGAGGGUUCUGCCCCAGGAGCCAAACACCUUGCACAAGACCCCACCUGCAGCACUGAGAAUUAUAAUUCAACAUGGUAUUUGAGCAGGGACAAAUAAAUAUCCAAACUAUAUCAAAGGUGUUUGGGUCAUGGGGGCAGAUUCCUUAUGAAUGUCUUAGAGCCAACACUGUCGUAAUGAGAGUGUUCUCACUCUGUUAGUUCAUGAGAUAUCUGAUUGUUUAAAAGUGUGUGGAAUGCCCCUUCUUAUUCCCUUUUGCCAUAUGAUAUCUGCCAUGUGAUAUCUUCCAUGGGAUUGUAAGCUCCCUGAGGCCUUCACCAGAAGCAGAUACUGGCACCACAAUUUCUAUACAGCCUGCAGAACCAUGAGUUAAUUAAACUUCUAUUCUUCAUAAAUUACCCAGCCUCUGGUAACAACACGAGGAUGGACUAUCACAUUCUAGCUGGAGAUAUAAGAUAUCUAUAAUUUACUCUUAAACAAUUUUAGCCUAUGAGGUAGAAUGAAAAGAGUUAGAAUCCCAAUAUAAUUUAGUACAAAAUUUUGUACUCAAUAGUGUGGAACUCAGCAUCUAGCAGACAAUUAUGAUGCUUACUUUUAGUUGCUAACUUGGAAAGGCUGUGGUACUUUGUUGUUUCAUCAAAUACCAGUAUGGAUGUUGCUGUGAACGUGUUUUUCAAAUGGGAUUAACAUUUAAAUCACUAGACUUUGAGUAAAGCAGAUUACUUUCUAUAAUGUGGAUGGGCCUCAAAGACAUCAGCUUCCUGAGGAGAAAGAAAUUCAGGUUCAGCACUGCAACACAGAAAUGCUCCAUGAGAUUCCAGUUUUCCUGGCUUGCCCUUGCAGAAUUUCAACUGAAGACUUCACCUUUAGCUCUUACCUGAGUUUCCAACCUGCUGGCUUGCCCUGAAGAUUUAGGACUUGCCAGCCCCAACAAUCGCAUGAGCUAACUCCUUAAAAUAAAUCUCACUCCUUUGGGAGGCCAAGGC
This 2358-nucleotide long non-coding RNA is filed under the name Homo sapiens (human). Its description in RNAcentral is "HSALNT0056661". Lineage: Eukaryota; Metazoa; Chordata; Mammalia; Primates; Hominidae. The record is from RNAcentral.